This 3688-nucleotide long non-coding RNA is filed under the name Sus scrofa (pig). Its description in RNAcentral is "lncRNA (ENSSSCG00015016721.1)". The record is from RNAcentral. Lineage: Eukaryota; Metazoa; Chordata; Mammalia; Artiodactyla; Suidae.
AUGCUAUUUAUUGUGUUAGACAUUUAAUUUGAUUAUAUUUAAUCAGUUAAUAUUUUGAGUGAAUAAUUGAAAUGAACGAAAUAAAACAUAGCAGGAAUUUUAGGGAUCAUUUCAAAGACCUUGAAAUUCAUUACACACACUGAUUUUCUUUUACUUAUCAGUCUUGUUACAUUCUGCAAUAACCAUGUGGAAACCUGAGUUUCUAAUUAUCCUUUCUGCCUCCUCCUGAUUCACAUCUUUUAUUCUCAUCAGAAAGUAUGUGAAGAACUAAGAAACACAGAGAAAACAAUCACUGACAACUCUUUGGUAGUGUGAGUGUCUAUCAGGUGCCAACUGGAAUGUUUCUUUUCAUUUGGGGGUUACUUUGUAGACUGUUAUUCUCUAUAGCUGCUAAAAUCCACCUGGAAACAUUUUUCCCAGUCACACAAGGCAAAGUCAACAUUAUUGACGACUGAGAUAGCUUAGCGGUCAAGGAGACCCUGAUGAAGAAAGGUCAACACAGGAGAACACCAUUGUUCCACGUAACACGUGCCCAAUCAAAAAUGUGCUGCCAUGAACAAAGAUUUUCUUUUAAGCUGGGAAACUUAACUUCACAUUCUUUUUUUAAGACUUUCAAUCUCACCAAUAGACAAGACACUAGGAGAAAAGACUGCAGCUUCACUUGUGUCAUUUCUAGAAAAAUGAGCUAUCGCUAAGGAAUUGCAUUAGUGAAUUUAAAUGGUUUCACGCAGUUGAAUUAUUUAGACAUUUCUUUUCCUGUCCUGUGAUUCUCUCUUUCAUCUAUCUGAACACUUGCCACCUGCUAAUGCUCAUAUCUGUAUAACUCCGAAGGCUUCUUUUCUCUUCCUUUAUUCCAAAAAAUACAACAAACCCUUGGAGAUCGAGCCUACUCCAUAGGUGCCCUAACUUACCUGGGUCCUUACUUCCAUUUUUUCAGUCAGUUCUUGCCAACUUUCUUGUAAAUCCCACACAGCAAUCAUCUUUUAUGCCUGAACUAUCUCCUGAACCCCAAAGGCACAUUUUUCUGCUACCUACUAAACUCUUCUACUUGGUUUCCCAGGAGAAAUUUUUCUUAUAUGUGUCAAGUCACAAACGAAAUGGAAACAAUGGUUUUCUUUUCUUUUCUUUUCUUUUCUUUUCUUCUUCUGCUCUUCCUUCUCAUUCUAUAACUAAGAGGUGAGCUUUGUAGGACUGGAACUCCAGAAUCAUGCUGACCCCUUUUCUUCCUCUCUGCUCUCAUAUUCUAGUUACUUUCCAAUUCCUAAAGGGUUUCUGCCAAAUGUCCUGGAUACCCAUUCUCUCCACUGAUAUUCAUUUCCUUUCGAAUGUUGGACUAAACCAUCCUUCUCAGCUUCUAUUGCAUCUCAUGGGUCCUGCUAUCUCUCUAGGUCCCUAAACCUUUAUGUGAUUUCCAUCUGGGCAGAGAUUCCUUGACAAGUUCUAAUGAUGCUAUUUUCUGCUUAAAAAAUUAAAAAUUUCAGUGUGUUCUCAUAGCCAAGUCCAAGAUCCUGAUUCUGGCAUUCAAUGAUUUCUAGGAUUUUCCCUCCAAAAUAGCCUUUUUCCUUACCCUCCUGUGACAUAAACAAAGUGGACUAUAGGCAGGUGCCUAAUCUCCCACCCUCAACGACUUUCCCAUCAAUGUUCCACAGUUGAUGCUUUAUCUUUACCAGAUGUGUCCUCUCUCCCCUUCCUCCUUCCUUCAUAACAAACUGAGGUCUUACCCAGCCUUUAAAAAUGCCUCAUUUACUACAAUGAAGUACAACCUCAUACGGGUCAGAAUGGCCAUCAUUAAUAAGCCUACAAAUUACAGACACUAGACAGGAUACGGAGAAAAGGGAACCCUCCUGCACUGCUGGUGGGAAUGUAAAUUGGUACAUCCACUUUGGAAAACAGUACGUAAGUUCCUGAGAAAACUAAAUAUAGAACUAAAUAUGAUACACCAAUCCCACUCCUGGGCACAUAUCCAGACAAAACUACAAUUCAAAAAGAUACAUGCACCUGUAUGUUCAUUGCAGCACUAUUCACAAUAGCCAAGACAUGGAACCAACCCAAAUGUCCAACAAGAGAUGAGUGGAUUAAGAAGAUGCGGUACAUAUACACAAUGGAAUACUGCUCAGCCAUAAAAAUGAGUGACAUAAUGCCAUUUGCAGCAACAUGAAUGUAACCAGAGAUUCUCAUACUAAGUAAGUCAGAAAGAGAAAGACAGAUACCAUAUGAUAUCACUUAUAUAUGGAAUCUAAAUGAACCUAUACAUAAAACAGAAACAGCCUCACAGACAUAGAGAACAAACGUGUGGUUGCCAAGGUGGAAGCCAGGAGAGACUGGGAGUGUGGGAUUAGUAGAUGCAAACUAUUACAUUUAGAAUGGAUAAGCAAUGAGGUCCUACUGUAUAGCACAGAGAACUAUAUCCAAUUUCUUGGGACUGACCAUGAUGGAAGAUACCUCCUUUGAAAUUCAUUAUUCCAUUAAUGGCACUUUUGCUGUGAUACAUCCUCAUUCGAACAAAUAUUUACUUCAUACAAAUUUCUGUGCUUUUAUUCCUGGUAUUGUGCUUGUAUUGUAUGUACUGUGUUGUACUUGUACUGGCCUUCUCCCAGCUCUUUGAAGGUUUAUACUAGAUUUUACUCAUCUUUUAAUGUGAAAUUAUAGCCUAUAUCAUAGUGGAUGUUGCACUAUGUUGUUGCAGGUCUUGCCUCUCAGAGACGGUUUUUAUCUUGACAUCCCUCCCGACGGCACGGUGCUUACCUUGACCACCGCGUCCAACCAUCGCUUUCAUUGCAAUUACACACGUUCCUUCUAUAAAAUACUUCACUCCAGGCUGACACCAUAUUUGGAGUCCCAUAGAUCUGCAUCCAUCUGGAAUCAUGCGUAGUGCCAUCUGUACCUUUCCUUUAAAGUCCUGCUGGCUGUAAAAGAUGUGAAACCUAAUAACGGGUUAAUAUGUUAACUUCUCCAAAAGUAAAACUGUUGGUGUUCAACAGAACUUUGGGAAGAUAAGGAGUGACUCUCCUCCAGAGAAUUUCUGACUGAGUGGCAUGCUGAUAUGGGUGAUAUUUUUGGUCUGGUACAAUUUUCAAUCCCCACAAAUCACAUCUUACAAGUGGCUGACAAGUUUAUCUAUGUCUGGGAGAGGACACGGACCCCUCAUCUAAACAGGCACCCAUGCACUCACUCACACAUGUACCACGGCCCUCAGAUCACGUGACAGCGAGAUUCCCAGGACAAUGGAAACAAGAGCUACAGGGCUCACCUGCCUUCAGUUCCACAGGGAGCUGACAAGGGCUCAGCAACUGCAGGGGUCUCCAUCAUACAAGAUAUUUUUUUUUCAAUCCAAAUCACAUCUUCAAUUUUGUCCUGUUAGGGGUUAGUAGAUGCAAAGUAUUACAUGUAGAAUGGAUACGAAAUGAGGUCCUACUCUAGGACCUCCACCCCCCAAUACAAAUGAAGAGACAGAGUUCCUGUUGUGGAUCAGCAGUUAACGAACCCAACUAGUAUCCAUGAGGACACGGGUUCGAUCCCUGGCCCUGCUCAGUGGGUUAAGGAUCCGGCAUUGCUGUGAGCUUUGGUGUAGGUCGCAGAUGCAGCUCAGACCCUGCAUUGCUGUGGCUGUGGCAUAGGCUGGCAGCUGUACUUCCAAUUCGACCCCUAGCCUGGGAACCUCCACAGGCUGCAGGUGUGGCCCUAAAAA